Molecule: ribosomal RNA, 1107 nt
Filed under: uncultured archaeon
Lineage: Archaea
Description: bacterial SSU rRNA
Rfam family: Archaeal small subunit ribosomal RNA
Source: RNAcentral
AUUUCCGUUGAUCCUGCGGAGGGUCGCUGCUAUUAGGAUUCGAUUAAGCCAUGCAAGUCUAGGGGGUGUUUACAUCCUCGGCGAAAUGCUCAGUAACACGUCGAUAAUCUGCCCUUUGGUUCGGGAUCAUCUUGGGAAACUGAGGAUAAUACCGAAUAGGAGAUAAAUUCUGGAAUGAGUUAUCUUUAAAAGAUUACGCCAAAGGAUGAGUCGGCGGCAGAUUAGGUUGUUGGUGAGGUAAUGGCUCACCAAGCCUACGAUCUGUACGGGCCGUGAGAGCGGUAGCCCGGAGAAGGACACUGAGAUACUGGUCCUAGCCCUACGGGGUGCAGCAGGCGCGAAACCUUUACAAUGCACGAAAGUGUGAUAAGGGAAUCCUAAGUGCUUAUACUAAGUAUAGGCUUUUGUUAAGGGUAAAUACCUUGGCGAAUAAGCGGUGGGCAAGACUGGUGCCAGCAGCCGCGGUAACACCAGCGCCGCAAGUGGGGACCUCUUUUAUUGGGCCUAAAGCGUCCGUAGCUGGUUUGGUAAAUCUCUUGUGAAAUCGUUAAGCUCAACUUAACGGCAUGCAGGAGACACUGCCUAACUUGAGACUGGGAGAAGUAUAGAGUAUUCCGGGGGAACCGGUAAAAUGGGAUAAUCCUCGGAGGACUACCUGUGGCGAAGGCGCUAUACUAGAACGGAUCUGACAGUGAGGGACGAAGGCUAGGGGAGCAAACCGGAUUAGAUACCCGAGUAGUCCUAGCAGUAAACGCUGCGAGCUAGGCGUUGCGUAUUCUACAGGAAUAUGCAGUGUCGUAACGAAGGUGUUAAGCUCGCCGCCUGGGAAGUAUGGUCGCAAGACUGAAACUUAAAGGAAUUGGCGGGGGAGCACCACAAGGGGUGCGGCGUGCGGUUUAAUCUAACUCAACGCAGAGAAUCUCACCAGAGGCGACGGCAGAAUGAAGGUCAGUCUGAAGGGCUUACCCGACGAGCCGAGAGGUGGUGCAUGGCCGCCGUCAGCUCGUGCUGUAAGGUGUCCUGUUAAGUCAGGUAACGAGCGAGACCUGUACCUACAAUUGCUAGCGACUAGUUUACUAGGAUCGAGCACAAUGUAGGGACUGCCUU